RNAcentral lists this ribosomal RNA (253 nucleotides) under uncultured bacterium. Its description in RNAcentral is "partial 16S ribosomal RNA". It matches the Rfam family "Bacterial small subunit ribosomal RNA", at positions 524 to 776 of the family's 1533-position model. The record is from RNAcentral.
UACGAAGGGGGCUAGCGUUGCUCGGAAUCACUGGGCGUAAAGCGCACGUAGGCGGACUCUUAAGUCGGUGGUGAAAUCCUGGAGCUCAACUCCAGAACUGCCUUUGAUACUGGGGAUCUCGAGUCCGGGAGAGGUGAGUGGAACUCCGAGUGUAGAGGUGAAAUUCGUAGAUAUUCGGAAGAACACCAGUGGCGAAGGCGGCUCACUGGCCCGGUACUGACGCUGAGGUGCGAAAGCGUGGGGAGCAAACAGG